AACUGAAUAACAUGCAUUUUAUUGCUUGAUUUGUGUUGUAUUUGCAGUGUCAUUGAUGAUAGCGAGCCGGAUAGGAUAGAGGCCAAAAGUGCAGAUGCUCUACCAGAAGGUCUUGUUCGAGAGCUUCCCAGUGCAGAUGAGUUCCAAAAAUCGCCUACUGAAGCCGCAGAUGCUACUAUUGAUGACCUAGAAGAUCUCCGGAAGCAACUUGAGGCCCUUAAUUCUUAAAUUAUCAUAUAUUUUUUAUUUGUAGCCCCCUUCGAAAUUGAUAUGUAGCUUCGUUGUUUCUAACUUUAUAGCCGCACCCUGAAGUGAGGGUGUACAUGAGGUGGAUAAUACUAAUCUCCAUACCUGCAAGACACAGUUUUCUGAGUGUUGCAGUAUCUGGGAUUUUUGGUUUAAUUCUCAAAUUUAUACACCUUGCAA
This is a non-coding RNA of Prunus avium (sweet cherry), 426 nucleotides long. NCBI's taxonomy places the organism in Eukaryota, Viridiplantae, Streptophyta, Magnoliopsida, Rosales, Rosaceae. The record is from RefSeq and is a predicted model, not a curated record.